This is a long non-coding RNA of Aquila chrysaetos chrysaetos, 1046 nucleotides long. RefSeq lists it as uncharacterized. The transcript is spliced from 2 exons. NCBI's taxonomy places the organism in Eukaryota, Metazoa, Chordata, Aves, Accipitriformes, Accipitridae. The record is from RefSeq and is a predicted model, not a curated record.
GUUAUCUUCUACUUGGAUUUAAUAACAGUAAAAUUUGGGAGUUAAGUAAACAAUGAGGGAUGGUGUUACCCAAACGUUCAAUAUGAAAGAUACUAAUCUCCUAUAUGGAGAAAGUUACUGGUGUUAAGGCCUAGGAACGUAAUUGUAGUUAAUCCAUAGUUUAAUUGCAGUUAAAUAAACUGAAGCUUAAUCAUACUUUGAUUAACCGUGAGCUGAACUGCUGAUACUCUGCCUUGUGCAGUGUCACACAUUUCUACCAAGGAAAAGAUAUGCUACCAUUCCAUUCUGGUACCUGGCAGUAUCUAGUCCUUGUCUUUUUUUCAAGUCACUCUUAAAGGAAAAAAGCAUCCUUACAUAAAACUGGCAAGGGAAGUGCUAACACUAAAAACUAAAAGAAUCUGAAGAUGGUAAUUUUUUUCACCACUUUGCAGGCAGAAGCUGGCAUUGCCCCAAAAGUCUUGUCCUACUCCUUCCCAAUCGUUUUGACUAUGGGAAUAUUCCUUCUCUUAUUGAACACAGCUGCUCGUGACCUGGCCUUAUGUCAGAUGAACUCUUCUGUGUCUAAGAAGGGACAAAAAACAAGCAAAAGUGCUAACUGAAAGUGUUCAGACUCUAGCCCUAGAUCAGAUAUUCAGCCAGCUGCCUCAGUGAGGAGACCUCAAGCGCUGCAUGGAUUUUUCACCUACUUGAAGCCCUGUUGCGUUUUCAUUUGUGUAACUGAAACUGUACGAAUAGGGAACACUGUUGCUGAGAAAGGCUUCUGCUAAUAGCUCUCCUGCAUAGAUCAGCUUGCAGGACUGACUAAAAACAUUGGCAUCUUUCAUUCCCAAACAUGCACUGAGAGUCAGAACCCAAGAAUAUGGAGAACUACAUAAACAAAACAGCCUCCAAGAAAGCUGUGCAGGCAUAACUGUGAAGAAGGAGAACAGGAAGGUUGCUUGGUACCUGGAAUGUCACAAGACCAGAAAUCAUUACACUGCGGACAGCGUGGUUCAGUCUGAGCUCUGAAGUACUUUCUGACACAAGGUAAAUGCAUUCCAAUUCCA